Molecule: long non-coding RNA, 2037 nt
Organism: Hippocampus comes (tiger tail seahorse)
Lineage: Eukaryota; Metazoa; Chordata; Actinopteri; Syngnathiformes; Syngnathidae
Exons: 2
Source: RefSeq, a predicted model, not a curated record
CAGCGCGUGUUUGAGAACAGUUCGUCAAUGAUGCUGCGUUUUCCUCUUUGACCCAAACGGCCUGACUAUGUUGCGGUUCCGAGUACAGCGUCUGUCAAAGAUUUGCUCACGCCGUUGAACAAGAAGUGGUUCGAACUUUUGACUAUGUAUUUCAAGGUCCAUGGUAAGUGCUUGCAGGUUUUAAAAGACGCCACCUUUGGAUUGCAUACCGACUUUCGUGAGAACCACGAUUGCGAUCAUGAAGUUGAAAUUCUCCUUUCAGCGGUGGCUGUUUAAUGCGUGGCAUUUUAAAGGAGUUGAUUAAUUGUAUUGACACGGUUUGCCAAAUUUGAUCCAAAUUAUAAAUGUGGUUCUUCCGGAGGAUUUUAAUGAAACUAAUAAAACCACACAACUCGACACCAAAAAAUUUAUUCCAACGAAAAUGGACUAAAAGCCAUUUGCCAAGAAAUGGUGUGCCUGAAUGAUGAUCAAUAAAAUGGCGUUGGUCUUUCGGCUGGAAAUAAUGACACAAAGGGGCAAAUAAUAAAAUGGAAUUGCAAGUUCGGGGGGUGGGGGGAGGCUACAUUCCAGUCCAAAAGUGUUCUAAAAUUGUUCUAAUCUUGAUUGGAAAUGCUCCAGAUGAUGUUAGAAAUGACCAGGAUUGUGUAGAGUUUUUCCAAGAUGGGGUAACGCAUAUGAAUGACUUCAAAAAUGUAAAAGGCAGCCGAAACAAGUGGCACGUCUGUGUAAACUGUCAAGAAUAUUCUGUCAUCAACUUCCAAUAAGCAGGAUUCGAUGACACGGCAAUUUGCUUUGUUUCCACUCUCAGUUGGCCAUUGUAUGUUGCGAUGAAUCAGAGCAGCUCAUCUUCGGUGUGCAGAAGGUCAGACUGUAGUGAUUCCAACAGCGAUCCCAUCGUCGUCAUCCUCGGGCUGUACGAAGACGGGCACGUUGUUGUUCUUUGUGGCUAUCGGAGAUGCUUUGUUGCCAGGUCAGAGUUAUUUUGUUGUGCUGACGGAGUCCUCCGACGACAGUCGGAUGGUACGUUCCAGCGUGCUGAAGUCAGGGAGGAGGCACGCGUGCGGCCGGGAGACUGACGGGGGGGACCAUCAGUCAUAAACAAACGGCCUUUUAUGGAGUGACCGGUGCCCUCGCUCGGAACUCAAGAAAGUGUGUUUAGCUUCAAUCGUUUACAUGGAAGUCAAGAAUGACAAAACACUGUCCUGACAGAACGCAGGGGGACACCGGCUUGGCUCGUCCAGACAAAGUAUUGCCAACGCGGAACGCUAAAGGAAAUCCGAUGGACCCAUCGGAAAUACUGCAUCUUACAAUCCGGAAUUCUAUUCGACUCGUUUGGAUCGGGAUUGAUUUUUGUGAUAAGAAUUGACGGCAAUAACAUGAAGCAGUUCAAACUUUUGAGGUAUUGUGUAAGUGAUGUUUCACUAAUUUCAUUCAUCGGUUGGAAAAGCGAUUGAUAAUAAAACCAAUGUGUUGCGCCUUUGAUCGGCGUUUCCUUGGUCUUGGACAUCAGGGGAUUCUUCCAAUAAUUGCAUCUUGAAACCUCUCAGGCCCGAUGUGCAGCACCUUCGCUAUGACCAGCAGGGGUGCAGUUCAUACAUUCUUGAUCAGUUUGCAAUCAAGAGAAAAUUCUCAUGGCUAAAAAAAAAAAAAUCCAAUUUUCGGAAGGUUGCUUGGAAAGUCGAUUUGUAUGCAUUUUCCAAAUAUCUCCGUUUCUGUUGGACUUGUCCUCAUUUGGGUCACGGGUUAACUGGAGCCUAUGCGAGCUGGAUAGCAGGCGAGGUACACCCUGGACUGGUCGCCAGCCAAUCGCAGGCCACAUAGAGACAACCAGCCAGUGACACCCACAUUCACGCCUGUUCUCAAUGAACUUCCCGUGCAUAUUUUUGCAAUCUCUGAUGAAGCCGGAGGACCUGGAUAAAGCCAACAUCAUAGUAACGGAGUCAGUCAUCAAAAGAUUGCUUCCAUGCCAUCUAGGUGCCGAGGAACUGUUGUAAGUGAAGGGUGGAGCUUCCUUUAGCCAGGCCAUGGCCUCGUAUU